GUAAGCCCGUCAGAUUCGAUCUAGCUAGGCUGGUUAGAUCGAGGCAUGCAGCAGGGCAAUCAAACCGAUCGACUAAGAGCCAAGGGAACCCCAAAUGGAUUAUGUAGCUGAUCAUAGAAUUACAGUGGCUGACAAGAAAAAUAUAGGAAUGUAGUAGCAGCGUCAAAAUACAACAUAAAGCAACUGCGAGGAUUUUGUAUGGGUAACCAAAGACGACCUUUUGAAAUUCUUUCCUGAGCAAGCUGAAUUCUUCAACAAGAUGAUCAUCAGCUGAGUCACUCUCACCAGAAAAUUACUAUUUUAAUCCUUUCUGGGAUCAAGAGCAGGAAGAAGAGGCAAGACACCCAUGGUUAAGGAUCCACUAAUGGGAGGAGAAAAAUUAAUAACAAGUUAGUGAGGGUCUUGAGAUAUAAAAUAGUAUUAAUUAAAACUUAAGAUAUCAUCAUAGUAACACUAAUGUGGAUGCUCUCAAUGGUAGUUAACUUGUAUUAUCGUCUUUUAUAAAAUACAGCACAACGUCUCCAAAUCAGAGUCGUAUGCUUUUAAGCACGCUUCCAAACGUCUCAUAUUGGGAAUCACGUUGGAAUGUUGUGCUCUAUACAGUAGACGCGCCUCUCCUUCCGCCUCUUCUUAUGCUUAGCGCUCCGCUUCUGGUUCCGGGGCGAGAAACGCAUCAUCACCCGCGAUACCAUGCUUCCUAGA
Long non-coding RNA from Camelina sativa (false flax), 702 nucleotides. RefSeq lists it as uncharacterized. Lineage: Eukaryota; Viridiplantae; Streptophyta; Magnoliopsida; Brassicales; Brassicaceae. The record is from RefSeq and is a predicted model, not a curated record.